This 425-nucleotide unclassified non-coding RNA is filed under the name soil metagenome. RNAcentral describes it as "partial contains 5.8S ribosomal RNA, internal transcribed spacer 2, and large subunit ribosomal RNA". The stretch from base 1 to 120 matches the Rfam family "5.8S ribosomal RNA", at positions 35 to 154 of the family's 154-position model. The record is from RNAcentral.
GAUGAAGAACCCAGCGAAAUGCGAUAAGUAGUGUGAAUUGCAGAAUUCCGUGAAUCAUCGAAUCUUUGAACGCACAUUGCGCCUUCUGGUAUUCCGGAAGGCAUGCCUGUUCAAGAGUCAUUAACAACCGUUUCGAUCCCUUUCUUUCAGAAAUUACAAAGAGGAAAAGGGUUUGGUUAUGGUGGAGGAGGGAAAGGGAGCGUUUAGCCUGUAAAAAAAGAGGCUGUGUUCCGCCUCCCCCCCAAAAUUGUACAGGCGGUCGUGUGCGCCCACGCAUCGAGGUGUUGUAAAAGCUGCCACGGCACUUUUCACCUGUGCAGUGCGAGAUUGGCCAGCCGGUUUAAAAACCCCUCCAAACAAUCAAAGGUUGACCUCGGAUCAGGUAGGGAUACCCGCUGAACUUAAGCAUAUCAAUAAGCGGAGGA